RNAcentral lists this ribosomal RNA (950 nucleotides) under Bradyrhizobium elkanii. RNAcentral's name for it is "bacterial SSU rRNA". It matches the Rfam family "Bacterial small subunit ribosomal RNA", at positions 40 to 1026 of the family's 1533-position model. The record is from RNAcentral. Lineage: Bacteria; Pseudomonadati; Pseudomonadota; Alphaproteobacteria; Hyphomicrobiales; Nitrobacteraceae.
AGGCGGGCCUUAACCAUGGCAAGUCGAGCGGGCAUAGCAAUAUGUCAGCGGCAGACGGGUGAGUAACGCGUGGGAACGUACCUUUUGGUUCGGAACAACUGAGGGAAACUUCAGCUAAUACCGGAUAAGCCCUUACGGGGAAAGAUUUAUCGCCGAAAGAUCGGCCCGCGUCUGAUUAGCUAGUUGGUGAGGUAAUGGCUCACCAAGGCGACGAUCAGUAGCUGGUCUGAGAGGAUGAUCAGCCACAUUGGGACUGAGACACGGCCCAAACUCCUACGGGAGGCAGCAGUGGGGAAUAUUGGACAAUGGGCGCAAGCCUGAUCCAGCCAUGCCGCGUGAGUGAUGAAGGCCCUAGGGUUGUAAAGCUCUUUUGUGCGGGAAGAUAAUGACGGUACCGCAAGAAUAAGCCCCGGCUAACUUCGUGCCAGCAGCCGCGGUAAUACGAAGGGGGCUAGCGUUGCUCGGAAUCACUGGGCGUAAAGGGUGCGUAGGCGGGUCUUUAAGUCAGGGGUGAAAUCCUGGAGCUCAACUCCAGAACUGCCUUUGAUACUGAAGAUCUUGAGUUCGGGAGAGGUGAGUGGAACUGCGAGUGUAGAGGUGAAAUUCGUAGAUAUUCGCAAGAACACCAGUGGCGAAGGCGGCUCACUGGCCCGAUACUGACGCUGAGGCACGAAAGCGUGGGGAGCAAACAGGAUUAGAUACCCUGGUAGUCCACGCCGUAAACGAUGAAUGCCAGCCGUUAGUGGGUUUACUCACUAGUGGCGCAGCUAACGCUUUAAGCAUUCCGCCUGGGGAGUACGGUCGCAAGAUUAAAACUCAAAGGAAAUUGACGGGGGGCCCGCACAAGCGGUGGAGCAUGUGGUUUAAUUCGACGCAACGCGCAGAACCUUACCAGCCCUUGACAUCCCCGGUCGCGGACUCCAGAGACGGAGUUCUUCAGUUCGGCUGGA